Molecule: long non-coding RNA, 7365 nt
Filed under: Daucus carota (carrot)
Lineage: Eukaryota; Viridiplantae; Streptophyta; Magnoliopsida; Apiales; Apiaceae
Description: long non-coding RNA (DCAR_LNC001583)
Source: RNAcentral
UUUGUGUUGUCGGAUUGUGUUGAGCCAGAAGCUAGAUGCAAAGGCAAUCUAGAGUUUUCGAGUAACCUGACUAUGAUGUCACUAGUUUUGACAUCAGAGGCAAGUUUUCUAAUUAUGACUUGUACUUAUCACAAGUGAUCUUUUGGUCUAUUCUAUUUAAAUAAGGACAUUCAUAUUCAUAUUUUGCUAUGGCCACUAGUAGUGCAUAUCCUAUAUUUAAAAAUACAAUAUGAUUAUUUAUCUCUUGUAACUACUGCAAGUAUUUUGUUCUACAUCUCUUUAUAACCAAUCAUAUUUUAUCUUCUUCACUCAAUAAACAUUUUGUGCCAUUGCACACAAGUAUUCCUGGUCUCUUGAAUGUUUUUAUAAAAUUUUUAGUUGUUUUCAUUAUUUUAAAAAGGUGAGCUGAUUAAGCUCUGAAAUUAUUUAUUUUAAGAUUUUGACUUCCUCUCUCUCCUAUUGAACUUAUACUUUAUACAAGUAUAUUAGUUGCAUGAAUUACAUUACACAAUUUCGAGCAUGAAUGCUGUUUUACUUGAAUUAUUAUCUUGACAUGUGUACACUCAACAUCAUGUCUAAAAUCUUUUAUCAACUGUUGUUUUCUAUAAAUGUUUCCCCUGAAAAGAACUUUUAUUUAAAUGUUCUAGAAAUGCUGAACCGUUAAUCUAACGGCUAGUAUUAUGAUUUUGAUAUAAAACAAGGUUGUCGAUUAUUUCGAUACCUUGCUUAUUUUGUGAUUGGAAGUACCCUCGGGGACCGUACGCCGGUCCAGUUACAAUUAAGGCCAUUGUGUGCCUUGGAUCCCUUAAAAUUUGGUGACAUGCUUCGUGCAUGAUCCGGUGCUAUCUCGCGACUGAUCAUCGGCUAUAGCAUAGCGUUAAAUUAUUCCAAUCCCUAAAAAUGUUGUGGAAGGUUUAUAUAUUAAUGCUACUCUUUAUUAGUAUUAAGUUUCAGAAAAGUUUUAUAAAUUAAAUUCGAAGUUCAUAUUGUCGCUGAAGCAUUUGUUGCUCAGUGAUAGUUAGAGCCAAGAAUGAAUUGAGAUCUUCUUAUUUAUUCAACUCAUCAUUGUCAUGUUGGUUUAGCAACUAAAUAUAUGGAAAUUUAGUCGAUAAUGAUGGACACUGAAUAUUUAGGGAUUUCUUGAACUGUGGUUUAUGAACAGUUGAUUAUCAAACGUUAUUUUGAACUUCUCAAAUGAAUAAUUUUUGAAGUUCUUGCAAAGGUAUUAUUUUAUGAGAUUUGCUGCAAUGCAAAUCAAAAUGGUUUUAAAGAUUUUGAAGUGAAUCAAUUAUUUGAUUCAAAAUGUUUCUCAUAGUUAGAAACUCUCUCUCUCCAGUUUGGAAUUGCAUUACAAAUGUUUUUAGUAGAAAUCCAUUACCUAUUGGAUUGGAAAAUUCCCCGCAUAUUAUGGAUUUAUCUUAUUAUGCUUCUAAAACUUAUCUUGCUGAGCCUUUUGCUCACCCUUGCUAUUAUUUCUAACGCUUUCAGUUAGAGAUUAAGAUGAUUCGAUUGUUGAGCUGUGCGUAAGAUUGAUGAUAGGCGAGAUUGCCAGGGAGAUGUCUGCAAGAAUAUUUCUGGUUAGAAUUGAAUUAUUUCAGUUUAGUUGUAUAAUAGAUUUAUUUAUUUGGUUAUCAGUUACUCUUCUUAUCGAGGUUUAACUGAUAAUGUAGUUUAAGUUGUAAUAAGAUUGUAAGUUUUGAUUUCUGAUUUCAGUGUUGUAACCUAUUAGCGAUCCUGUUUUUAGGGGGUCAAAGUGAUUUUGAUUUAAAUAUCUUUUAAAAUUUCCAGAUUUUUAAUUAUCUGUUUUACCUUCUUCCGCAAAAUACAGGUUUUUAAAUGAUUUUAUUUUAGUGGCACCAAAUCCAGACCCCCGGAUUUUGGGGAUGUCACAGUUGGUAUCAGAGCUAUAGGUUAUAAGUUAUUGAAAUCAGAAUGUAGGUUGUGUUAGGAUUGUGGUUAGUGGAACCUCAUAUAGAGGUAAGUCAAGACAAUUUGGUAUAGUCUUUGUUGAUAGAAUUGAGGUCGAUAUUGGAGUAUUGAUUCCAAGUAAUCAUUUGGGAUAUCCUAGUUUCUAGUUUUAGAACUAGUGAGUUUGGAUUUCAGGGAAACAUGAUGGAACUUUUAGUUUCCAAUCUUUUUGAACUUGAGAUUGACUUCUGAGUAACCAGUGCCAACUAGACUCGUGGAGAAACCUGUCUAGUCUAGAAUGUUUGUUUUCAUCCCUACCACUUCUUGAGUAUUGGUAGAGGGUCAUAUAUUAAUUUUCUAGAGAUAUAUAUAUAUAGAAUGAGUAUGAGAUUUGUUGGGUUAGAGAUUCUUUGAUAAGAUAGUUAUAUGAAAUUCGUGUUUAGCUAUUUGUUAUAGUGCUAUGAGUAGGCUAGAACGCCAACGCUCUACAAUGCUUAUUGUAUAAAGUUGAAGAUGGCUUCUGACCGUGCCAAGCUGGAUAAGACUUUUUACUGAAGUGGAUUGCGGUGAUUGAAUCUUUAGAGUUGAAUACGAGCGGCCAGAAUAUUAGAACAUCGAGAAGAAUCGCUAGAAUCGGAACGAGCCAUCAGAAGAAUCAAUCGAGAAGACAUCUGUGAUAAUGUUGGUAAUGCCUUCCUCAUUGUUGAUUAUAUUGAUUAUUUUCCAAUCAAUAAUCUAUUUUAACAUCUCUUUUAUAAAGAUGUUUGUUAAAAAGCGUAUGCUCUCUCUUGAGGUGUAUUGCUAUACUUGCGUUUACUCGUAUUUGGAUUGAAUUGUGAUAGAGGCUAAUAUGAUACUUAUUUUAGGUUGUGGAAGCCCUGUCAAGUUUGUGAAAAUUCAUUUCUAUUUUUUUUUCUUUCUUCUAAAAGUGGUGAAUGAUUCUUAUUUCAAGUUAUCACCAUUUACUCGUUAUGUAAAAUUAUUUUUCGGUUAUUAUUUUCCUCCGAAAAUCAGCAUCUUUGGAAUCUAUUCAAUUUUGAACCCAAGGUGCGUAUAAAGAUUUAUUCAUUUAAAAGACAGUCAUUGUUAAUUGAUUGAAUUUUUUUUUUUUCCAGAUUUUCUUACUCUAACUGAGAUGAACAACCCUAUUUAUAGGGGACACAAGGACUAUCUGUCUGUGUGAUAGAAGUUUGAUGGGACGCCAUCACUUGUGUGUUGUGCAUUACAAGAAGGUUAAUUACCUUUAGUAGUAUCAUCAAUUGGAUACGCAACAUAGUUCUCUAGAUCAUAUUGAUCUCUCAGCAAUUCUCUAUUUCAUAUCAGUUUGCUUUCGAAACUCAUACCUAUGACAAUUGCUUUGAUAUCUUAAAUCUGAUAUACUUUAAGAUUAAAUGACUCUUAUUUGUCAAUCAAUUCAAAGGGUAUGCCAAUCAGGUUUAAAAGAGUUAGUCCUGCCAAUGCAUUAUAAGAUUUCGUAUAUGACCACAACUAUAAAAGAAGAUUACGAUGCGACUUGCAAACAAUAGCCUGCUCUGAUUCUCUCUUCGCUGAUUCCGAGGACGGAAUCCUUAUAAGGGGGGAAGUCUGUAAUGACUCGGGUUUUUAUUAAUUAUUUAUUAUUUUGUUGGUGAUCUUAAAAAAAAAGGAAGGAAUAAAAUUUUAUAUUUUAUUCCAGUUUGUUGGAUUUUCAAAAAUAAUUAUCUUAGUAUAUAAUUAAUUCUCGAUCCAGUGAGAUGUUGGGAAUUUGAUUAUUUGAGAUAUUAUGUGGAUAAUAUUUUGAGGUGCAACUAUUUGAAAUUUUAUGCAAUUUUCUGAGUUACUUCAAUUAUGUGAUUGAUUUAAUUGGGGUACAUGUUAAAUGAGCAUUAAUUGUUUAUUCUCUGUCCGAGUGAGUAAUUUAGAAAUUGAGUUUAUUUUUAUAAAUCAGAGAUGUUCUUUGAUUUAGAGAUAUCAGAAUUCUGUGUUUACUUAUAUUACAAAUUUUGUCUAAGCGGUUAAGUUAGAAUUUAGAUUUAUUAUAGUGUCUUCAUUAAAAUUGUUUUUAGUUUUUAAAAAUCAAAAUCUGUAUUUAAUUGUGCCAAUAUUUUAUUCAAGUAAAAACUACCAAAAUAUUUCAGUUUUGGUAUUUUAAUGUUUUGAAUGAUUUGAAAAUAUUCAAAAUUCUCGCGAAUGAUUAUUUUAAUUAUUUGCAAUUCAAAAAAAUUAAUUAUGGGCAAUUAAAUAUAAAAUUUUCAAAUGAUUAAAAAUAAAAUUUUUACGUAUUUUAUUCAUUCAGGAUAUUUCAAGAAUUGUAGUAUAUUUUGUUUUAUUCUUGGAAAAUAUUUUUAGACCCCUAAAAUUUGUUUAGUAGUUUCAUAGUAUUAAUAAUUGGGGUAUAAGCCUUAUCAGUAUAUAUAAAAUUCUUUUAUUAAACUAGAGUUAGCAGCUGCGUUAACCCCGUGUGUACAUCUCGUCUACUAAUAAUCAGAUAGUAUAACAGAUCAAAACAAAAGCUAUUAAAACAGACACAAGUCUUAUACACGCAGCCGCAGUUCGAAAGAAUUGGGGAACUAGGGUUUCGGAACAGGGGUUUCAAAAUCCAUGCUUGAAUCGCAGGUGAGGUCAUGAAUUAUGUGUAAUAUACAAUUGUUAUGCUUAUCUGUGUAUGUAUAUAUGGCUGUGAUUAUGGUUGACUGCUUGAAUCGGAGGCUGUUAAUAGUGAUGGAGGCUGGUGGGUUUCGUGGUUGUGAUUGACGGUGAAGCCACCGUUGGUUGGUCUGGGUUUAAGUAGAAGGGAAGGAGUUGGUUUGAUUGUUUUGUGGUGAUCGGGGAACGGACGGCUGGUGGUGGUCUGGAUCGUGGCCGGCUGGGCACCGCCGCUACCACGCCGGGAAAGAGAAGCAGCGGCAUAGCUGCACGCGGUUGAGGCUACAGCCGCCAUGGCUGCUGACCAGGCGAGGAGAGAGAGAGAGAGAGAGGGGGGGGGAGAGNUAAAUUGUUGUUCCCGAUUCGUGUAUCGGUUUAUUAGUGUUAGAUAUCAUGUUUAGUUAUACAGUCUGGCAAGUUAGACGACAAAAAUUUGACUGUGUUAGACAAAUAUUGUGUUGAUUGUUGGGAUUGCUUUAUUACAAAGGAAGUGUUGUCCGGGUAUUAAUCUAUUAUUAAGAAUUGGAUUUAAAUUGAGAAUCGAAUUAAGAUUAUAAUUCGGGUUCUAAUUAAGAUUUGGACAGAGAUUCUUGGAUUACCGGUUAUGAUUAUUUAUAAUUACUAAAGCAUGUCAAUCUCGUGAUACGUGACAAUGUGAUUACAUGUUUAAAUUAUGAAUAUUACGUGUAUAUUAUAAUUGAAAAUAUUUAUACCACGAAGGGUAGAAUUAGAUUUUGAUUCAAUUUCGUUAGACGACAAUCUGGUUUGUUCGUCAACUAAAUUAUUAUUUGGUUAUCAUAUAUAGUCGGCUGACUCGUUUAUCAAGGACGUUCAAGAACAGUUGAUUUGUGUUGUCGGAUUGUGUUGAGCCAGAAGCUAGAUGCAAAGGCAAUCUAGAGUUUUCGAGUAACCUGACUAUGAUGUCACUAGUUUUGACAUCAGAGGCAAGUUUUCUAAUUAUGACUUGUACUUAUCACAAGUGAUCUUUUGGUCUAUUCUAUUUAAAUAAGGACAUUCAUAUUCAUAUUUUGCUAUGGCCACUAGUAGUGCAUAUCCUAUAUUUAAAAAUACAAUAUGAUUAUUUAUCUCUUGUAACUACUGCAAGUAUUUUGUUCUACAUCUCUUUAUAACCAAUCAUAUUUUAUCUUCUUCACUCAAUAAACAUUUUGUGCCAUUGCACACAAGUAUUCCUGGUCUCUUGAAUGUUUUUAUAAAAUUUUUAGUUGUUUUCAUUAUUUUAAAAAGGUGAGCUGAUUAAGCUCUGAAAUUAUUUAUUUUAAGAUUUUGACUUCCUCUCUCUCCUAUUGAACUUAUACUUUAUACAAGUAUAUUAGUUGCAUGAAUUACAUUACACAAUUUCGAGCAUGAAUGCUGUUUUACUUGAAUUAUUAUCUUGACAUGUGUACACUCAACAUCAUGUCUAAAAUCUUUUAUCAACUGUUGUUUUCUAUAAAUGUUUCCCCUGAAAAGAACUUUUAUUUAAAUGUUCUAGAAAUGCUGAACCGUUAAUCUAACGGCUAGUAUUAUGAUUUUGAUAUAAAACAAGGUUGUCGAUUAUUUCGAUACCUUGCUUAUUUUGUGAUUGGAAGUACCCUCGGGGACCGUACGCCGGUCCAGUUACAAUUAAGGCCAUUGUGUGCCUUGGAUCCCUUAAAAUUUGGUGACAUGCUUCGUGCAUGAUCCGGUGCUAUCUCGCGACUGAUCAUCGGCUAUAGCAUAGCGUUAAAUUAUUCCAAUCCCUAAAAAUGUUGUGGAAGGUUUAUAUAUUAAUGCUACUCUUUAUUAGUAUUAAGUUUCAGAAAAGUUUUAUAAAUUAAAUUCGAAGUUCAUAUUGUCGCUGAAGCAUUUGUUGCUCAGUGAUAGUUAGAGCCAAGAAUGAAUUGAGAUCUUCUUAUUUAUUCAACUCAUCAUUGUCAUGUUGGUUUAGCAACUAAAUAUAUGGAAAUUUAGUCGAUAAUGAUGGACACUGAAUAUUUAGGGAUUUCUUGAACUGUGGUUUAUGAACAGUUGAUUAUCAAACGUUAUUUUGAACUUCUCAAAUGAAUAAUUUUUGAAGUUCUUGCAAAGGUAUUAUUUUAUGAGAUUUGCUGCAAUGCAAAUCAAAAUGGUUUUAAAGAUUUUGAAGUGAAUCAAUUAUUUGAUUCAAAAUGUUUCUCAUAGUUAGAAACUCUCUCUCUCCAGUUUGGAAUUGCAUUACAAAUGUUUUUAGUAGAAAUCCAUUACCUAUUGGAUUGGAAAAUUCCCCGCAUAUUAUGGAUUUAUCUUAUUAUGCUUCUAAAACUUAUCUUGCUGAGCCUUUUGCUCACCCUUGCUAUUAUUUCUAACGCUUUCAGUUAGAGAUUAAGAUGAUUCGAUUGUUGAGCUGUGCGUAAGAUUGAUGAUAGGCGAGAUUGCCAGGGAGAUGUCUGCAAGAAUAUUUCUGGUUAGAAUUGAAUUAUUUCAGUUUAGUUGUAUAAUAGAUUUAUUUAUUUGGUUAUCAGUUACUCUUCUUAUCGAGGUUUAACUGAUAAUGUAGUUUAAGUUGUAAUAAGAUUGUAAGUUUUGAUUUCUGAUUUCAGUGUUGUAACCUAUUAGCGAUCCUGUUUUUAGGGGGUCAAAGUGAUUUUGAUUUAAAUAUCUUUUAAAAUUUCCAGAUUUUUAAUUAUCUGUUUUACCUUCUUCCGCAAAAUACAGGUUUUUAAAUGAUUUUAUUUUAGUGGCACCAAAUCCAGACCCCCGGAUUUUGGGGAUGUCACACCUCCGUCCCAUUUUAACUCCUUCUGAUUUUUUUACACAUAUUUUAAGGUGUUAAAAAAAUCGCAUAUAAACAUAAUUAUUCUUUAAAAAAUUUAU